Molecule: long non-coding RNA, 4422 nt
Organism: Cydia pomonella (codling moth)
Lineage: Eukaryota; Metazoa; Arthropoda; Insecta; Lepidoptera; Tortricidae
Exons: 3
Source: RefSeq, a predicted model, not a curated record
UAUAUAAUUAGGUCUGAAAAGAUAAUACUUUAUUUAUAGUUUAAUGUUAUUUGCUUGUAAAUAUUUAAUUAGGAUAGAAGUUAGAAUCGAAUCCAUGUAACAAAGUAGCGAGCUGAAGCAUAUAGGUCGUGGAACAUUAUCGGGCAAUACAUCGUACAGUGAGUAGCUACACUUUGAGCAUGCAAAGAAGAUGUGGUCCAAGUUGCCCUCAUCAAGCCCACAAUCACACAAUGAGUUCGCACGAACACCUAUCAUAGCCAGAAAUAACGGAGUACAUACUUUGCCCAAACGUAAACGACAGAUGGUGGAUAUUACCCAUUUCGGAGACGUACGGAAUCGAUAGAACCACGGUUUUCGAGAUAUACGAGGUUGUAUACAGCCAUAAUGUCUACCUGUCACUAAUCUCGAGGUAUCCCAUUGUUCCUGCCAUGUAUUAAAUAGAUCCGACAGUGAACCACUCAGAAGGUCUGUACUGUAAAUAUCCUCUUUUAUUAAUCCAAUGUCAAUAGCUCGUUUUGCCCAUGUAUCAGCCAUCUCAUUGCCGCUAAUACCACAGUGGCUUGGAACCCAUCCGAGAACAAUAUUUAGGCCCCUUAAUUCACACCUACGCAGUACAGCUUUGAUUUCUAAAAUCAAAGGAAAUUUGGCUUUCAGUUUGAAUUGGUUGCCUACAAUAGCCUGUAGGCAGCUUCUACUAUCAGAGAAGAUAAUAGUUUUUUUAAUACUAUGGGUCUCUGCAUAUUUGGCAGCUUCAAGAAUAGCAACUGCUUCACCUGUGAAAAUCGACGCUUGAGGAGGACACCUAAAUGAGAGGACAAUAUUGUACCGAGGAAUCCACACUGCUGCUCCCACACAUCUUGCAGGAUCUACCUUUGAAGCGUCAGUAUAAACCGUGAGUUCCAGUGCAAGUGACCGCAAACGUGGAAGCAGCAAAUGGUUGUAGUAAGAACUGGCUUUGAUUAAAAAUCUAUCGGCAAGAUAUUGUCUGCGGAGAGACAAAGGAGGCUCAACACCUUCCACCUGCAUGGCGUUCUUGGGAGAAGAAUGCAUAGCUCCGAGUAUGAUCCUCAAACAUUUAGCUUGUAUGAGAUCUAAUUUACCUAGUCCAUCCUUAUUGCAAGGUUCCAUUAAAAAUGACCCAUAGUCUAUAUGACUGCGUAUGAUGGCAUUGUACAGUAGCUUCUGACAAUAUGGAUGUGAGCCCCACCAUACACCUGACAAUGCUCGCAGAAUAUUGAUAUUUUUUUCACACUUACCUAUUAUAUACUUGUGAUGUGAAAUGCCAGACAUUUUGUGAUCUAAAAUGACACCUAGGAAUUUUACUGACUCCUUACUUGGAAUCAUAACACCGCCAUAACGGACAUCUGCAGCAGGCAUGAUUCUUCUGCGACUGAACGUGACUACACAACUCUUCGUUGGCGAUAGAGUAAGACCAUGUUCAUCAAGCCAAUCUUUGAGGUAACCCAGAGCUGUGUUCAAACUAGCAGCGGCUUUAUCUAUUGACUUUGCUGAGGUGUAUAAGACCAGAUCAUCAGCAUACUGCAAGAUAUUACAGAAGGAUAAGACAGAUUGCUCCAAGUCGUAGGUGUAGAUACUGUAAAGCAGAGGGCUGAGUACAGAUCCUUGCGGGAGGCCCCGCCACAAAGUCCGAGGUGGAUGAUAAGAAUUACCAUUCCUAAUUUUAAUUGACCUACCCAUAAACAACUUGGUGACAAUAUGUACAAUCUUCGCGGGAAUGCUCAGAUGUAGCAUUUUUGCCCUGAGCACCGGAAGAAGGACAUUGUCGUAAGCCGCAGAGAUAUCUAGAAAACAUCCUAGCAGAUAUUCGUUUUUUGAAAAGGUAAGUCGGAUAUCAGUUGCUAAAAUGUUUAAACUGUCCAUUGUACUACGGCCCUUUCGGAAACCAAAUUGAGUGUCAGCUAGAAUGCCCUUAUUUUCUGCAAACCAUUCCAGUCUAUUUUUAACCAGGUGCUCCAGUAUCUUUCCCAUUGUUGCAGAAAGAGCAAUCGGCCGAUAUGAGCUAGCCUCGUCUGGGUUUUUAGACGGUUUUAGGAUUGGAAUAAUUACUUGGGUCUUCCAGUCUCCUGGGAUCUCCCCCGUGUCAAAGGCAUGGUUUAGGAUACCAAGUAGAUAUUCCUGUGAUGAUGUAUUUAACUUGGACAAGAAACAAUAUGCAGCGGUUCAGGGGAAGGAGAUGGAAGAAUAGAUGAAGGCUUAGUGAUAAUAAUAGGGAAAUGGUCACUGCCAAAUGACUGACGUAAUACCCUCCAGGAUAAUAAAGAAGAUAAACUAGGAGAACAAACAGAUAAAUCGAGAACUGAUUGGGGAUUCUGGCCUGGGUAUACCCGAUGCGUGGGAGUUCCAUCAUUAAUAACUCCUACAUUGAUGUCAUCGAACAGAUCCAGCAGGGCUGACGAAAACGAAUCUGAAUGGUAUGAUCCCCAGGAGAUAUUGUGACAGUUAAAGUCUCCUAAAAUUAUAAGAGGAGGUGGGACAGAUGUGAGAAUAGAUUGUAAUUCAUCUAUAUCAACUUCUUCAGGAUGGGGGAUAUAUAUAGAGAUGAAAUUAAUGCCCAUAACCUUGGCAGCUACGGCAUUAAUCCCAUCCGAGUGAGGGGGGAUAGGAAUUUGGUAGAAAGGGUAACAGCGCUUGAUCAAUAACGCGCAUCCGGCGCGUCCGUCACUACGGUCUUCCCGGAGACAUGAGAAGCCCGGGACUCUAAAAAGAGCGCCGGGACGCAACCAUGUCUCCGAAAUAGCCGCAACAGACACGGCGUGGUCGUUGAUGAGCUGAAUAAGGUCAGGUUUUUUUGGUAUGAUACUUCGACUAUUCCAUUGUAGAAAUGUGACCGGGGGGGCCAUUGUGGAAUGUAAGUCUCUCCGCGAGUGUAACCAUUAAGGGUGCAACGUCGUUCGGUAGGAAAUCGCUCCAUUUAGCGAUGAUGUUUGUUAAAAAUUUCAAACAGAGUUCCAUUAGGUCUUCAUUGGGAGUGAUUCUAUUGUAAGAAGAAGAGCCAUUCAGAGCCUGACCAUUGGGGAGUUGAGGUGGGGGGGUUCGGACGAUAUUGUUGUGAGCUUCUCUAUCAUAACCCGGGGACAGAGGGACCCUCGUCCGGGGUGCUCGGUAUACGGUCUUACGAUACGAAGUGGUGGGCGGAGGAGUGGGCAUGGAAGUAUUAGGGUGGCAUGGGGACUGGGAAGAUCGGGAAGAGUCUGUAACCUGCUCAAACAUGACUCUUGCUAUAUCUGAAUAUGGUCUGCGAACUGCUGAAAACUGUGCUGCUGCUUCUGCGUAUGAGAUGUUCUGCUCAGACAUGGCAAGUUUAAUGGCUUUUUGUCUACCAUAUUCAUUGCAUACUUUAUCUGUAGCAAAAUGCCUACCUGUACAAAAGAUACAUGUCACAUGUUCUGGGGCUACAUUGCAUCCAUCACCGGGGUGUUUCUGUGCACACUUAUAACAUCUAGCAUCAGACCGGCACUGUGUUUGAAUAUGACCAAACCUAAGGCACUUCCUGCAUUGAAUUACUGGCAGUUGAUAUACUUCUACCACUAGAGAGGUGUAAUAGGCGAAGAUUUUCGACGGUAAGGAUUGCCCUUCGAAAGUAACUACAACUGAUUGGGUUGGCACCCAGGAUGAGGAGCCAUCAUUGUUUGCCACCUUCCGUUGCAGACGGCGAGCCUUAAGAAUCUUCCCUUUGCCUUCUUUGAGAUUCGUACCAUUGACUAAUUCCUCCAUAGUCCAAUCCGAAGGAACUCCACGAACAACUCCCAUACGCGAUACAUGGUAUGAGGGGAUAUCAGCUGUAAACUUAUUUUUGUCAAGUAGUGGGUGCUUUAAGAAGCUAUUUGCAUCAGCUGCUGUGGAGAAAGUAACUGCUACUCUGUUGCGACCUACCGACUUAAUACCACCUUCCUUCUGGAUGUUGUUUACAUUUCCUUGAGUAAGCAAAAGGCCUACAUUGAUGGGUUUCAGAGAGGCAUUGGACGAUGGAGCGGACUCUCUAGAGACAUGAACUAUAAAUGGUCCAUCAUCUUCGGCAUUGUACUCUCGGUAUUUGCUGUCUAGACUAGGGUGUUUGUAUAAAUGUGGGUUGAACUCGACUGUAUUAUUUUCAUUUACCUCAACUGGAUUAUUUUUAUUAAACUCUGCCACAUUACUAGUAUUAGGUUCGACUGUAUUAUUUGUAUUGCCCAACUGCUUGCUAGUCUCUAUCGGGUCGAUUACAAUUUUUUUUGGGGAAGGCUCCAGCUGGGUCGGUGACAAAUUCAAGUUGCGUUUACGUGAGGUUGUCUCCCAAUUCAUGUCAUUAUCACCGGCCUCAUCUGGAGGCUUCUCCUUUUCAUUCCCAUCCAUCCAAACGUCUACAGUAUUAACCUACUGUAUUGUGUAAAUAUACCACCACCUGAUUAGUAAAUAAAGAAA